GCCUUGCCGUGGUCAGUGGUAGAAUUCUAGCUUGCCAUGUUGGAGACCUGGGUUCGAUUCCCAGCCAACGCA
Molecule: non-coding RNA, 72 nt
Organism: Ameiurus melas (black bullhead)
Lineage: Eukaryota; Metazoa; Chordata; Actinopteri; Siluriformes; Ictaluridae
Source: the annotation of a GenBank genome assembly